Molecule: ribosomal RNA, 429 nt
Filed under: Actinomycetes bacterium
Lineage: Bacteria; Bacillati; Actinomycetota; Actinomycetes
Description: Actinobacteria bacterium partial 16S ribosomal RNA
Rfam family: Bacterial small subunit ribosomal RNA
Source: RNAcentral
UAGGGAAUCUUCCGCAAUGGGCGAAAGCCUGACGGAGCAACGCCGCGUGAGUGAUGAAGGUCUUCGGAUCGUAAAACUCUGUUAUUAGGGAAGAACAAAUGUGUAAGUAACUAUGCACGUCUUGACGGUACCUAAUCAGAAAGCCACGGCUAACUACGUGCCAGCAGCCGCGGUAAUACGUAGGUGGCAAGCGUUAUCCGGAAUUAUUGGGCGUAGAGCGCGCGUAGGCGGUUUUUUAAGUCUGAUGUGAAAGCCCACGGCUCAACCGUGGAGGGUCAUUGGAAACUGGAAAACUUGAGUGCAGAAGAGGAAAGUGGAAUUCCAUGUGUAGCGGUGAAAUGCGCAGAGAUAUGGAGGAACACCAGUGGCGAAGGCGACUUUCUGGUCUGUAACUGACGCUGAUGUGCGAAAGCGUGGGGAUAAAACAGG